UAAGAUUGCAACUUUAAAACAGUUAUAUU
This 29-nucleotide non-coding RNA is filed under the name Bombyx mori (domestic silkworm). The record is from RNAcentral. Lineage: Eukaryota; Metazoa; Arthropoda; Insecta; Lepidoptera; Bombycidae.